AACCGUAAUGCCAUUAAUUUGGUGUUGCGGGGAAACAGGACUGUUACUUUGAAAAAAUUAGAGCGUUUAAAGCAGGCUAGCGCCUGAAUACAUUAGCAUGGAAUAAUGAAAUAGGACGUUCGAACCUAUUUUGUUGGUUUCUAGGAUUGACGUAAUGAUUAAUAGGGAUAGUUGGGGGCAUUAGUAUUCAAUUGUCAGAGGUGAAAUUCUUGGAUUUAUUGAAGACUGACUACUGCGAAAGCAUUUGCCAAGGAUGUUUUCAUUAAUCAAGAACGAAAGUUAGGGGAUCGAAGACGAUCAGAUACCGUCGUAGUCUUAACCAUAAACUAUGCCGACUAGGGAUCGGAUGAUGUUAAUUUUUUAAUGACUCAUUCGGCGCCUUACG
Molecule: ribosomal RNA, 385 nt
Filed under: uncultured Glomeromycotina
Lineage: Eukaryota; Fungi; Glomeromycota
Description: SSU rRNA
Rfam family: Eukaryotic small subunit ribosomal RNA
Source: RNAcentral